This 1103-nucleotide ribosomal RNA is filed under the name Escherichia coli. RNAcentral describes it as "partial 23S ribosomal RNA". It matches the Rfam family "Bacterial large subunit ribosomal RNA", at positions 612 to 1718 of the family's 2925-position model. The record is from RNAcentral. Lineage: Bacteria; Pseudomonadati; Pseudomonadota; Gammaproteobacteria; Enterobacterales; Enterobacteriaceae.
AUAAUGGGUCAGCGACUUAUAUUCUGUAGCAAGGUUAACCGAAUAGGGGAGCCGAAGGGAAACCGAGUCUUAACUGGGCGUUAAGUUGCAGGGUAUAGACCCGAAACCCGGUGAUCUAGCCAUGGGCAGGUUGAAGGUUGGGUAACACUAACUGGAGGACCGAACCGACUAAUGUUGAAAAAUUAGCGGAUGACUUGUGGCUGGGGGUGAAAGGCCAAUCAAACCGGGAGAUAGCUGGUUCUCCCCGAAAGCUAUUUAGGUAGCGCCUCGUGAAUUCAUCUCCGGGGGUAGAGCACUGUUUCGGCAAGGGGGUCAUCCCGACUUACCAACCCGAUGCAAACUGCGAAUACCGGAGAAUGUUAUCACGGGAGACACACGGCGGGUGCUAACGUCCGUCGUGAAGAGGGAAACAACCCAGACCGCCAGCUAAGGUCCCAAAGUCAUGGUUAAGUGGGAAACGAUGUGGGAAGGCCCAGACAGCCAGGAUGUUGGCUUAGAAGCAGCCAUCAUUUAAAGAAAGCGUAAUAGCUCACUGGUCGAGUCGGCCUGCGCGGAAGAUGUAACGGGGCUAAACCAUGCACCGAAGCUGCGGCAGCGACACUGUGUGUUGUUGGGUAGGGGAGCGUUCUGUAAGCCUGCGAAGGUGUGCUGUGAGGCAUGCUGGAGGUAUCAGAAGUGCGAAUGCUGACAUAAGUAACGAUAAAGCGGGUGAAAAGCCCGCUCGCCGGAAGACCAAGGGUUCCUGUCCAACGUUAAUCGGGGCAGGGUGAGUCGACCCCUAAGGCGAGGCCGAAAGGCGUAGUCGAUGGGAAACAGGUUAAUAUUCCUGUACUUGGUGUUACUGCGAAGGGGGGACGGAGAAGGCUAUGUUGGCCGGGCGACGGUUGUCCCGGUUUAAGCGUGUAGGCUGGUUUUCCAGGCAAAUCCGGAAAAUCAAGGCUGAGGCGUGAUGACGAGGCACUACGGUGCUGAAGCAACAAAUGCCCUGCUUCCAGGAAAAGCCUCUAAGCAUCAGGUAACAUCAAAUCGUACCCCAAACCGACACAGGUGGUCAGGUAGAGAAUACCAAGGCGCUUGAGAGAACUCGGGUGAAGGAACUAGGC